AGGUACAGAGGGAUGCUACCGGGCGACCGGAUNCGGAUCUCGAAAGCCUGUCCCAGUUCGGACUGGAGUCUGCAACCCGACUCCACGAAGUUGGAUUCGCUAGUAAUCGCGCAUCAGCCAUGGCGCGGUGAAUACGUUCCCGGGCCUUGUACACACCGCCCGUCAAGCCAUGGGAGCCGGGGGUGCCUGAAGUGCGCUGCCGCAAGGAGCGCCCUAGGGUAAAACCGGUGACUGGGGCUAAGUCGUAACAAGGUAUC
RNAcentral lists this ribosomal RNA (257 nucleotides) under uncultured bacterium. RNAcentral describes it as "partial 16S ribosomal RNA". It matches the Rfam family "Bacterial small subunit ribosomal RNA", at positions 1235 to 1500 of the family's 1533-position model. The record is from RNAcentral.